Molecule: ribosomal RNA, 497 nt
Filed under: Pseudomonas sp. 01WB04.3-8
Lineage: Bacteria; Pseudomonadati; Pseudomonadota; Gammaproteobacteria; Pseudomonadales; Pseudomonadaceae
Description: bacterial SSU rRNA
Rfam family: Bacterial small subunit ribosomal RNA
Source: RNAcentral
UAGAGUUUGAUCAUGGCUCAGAUUGAACGCUGGCGGCAGGCCUAACACAUGCAAGUCGAGCGGUAGAGAGAAGCUUGCUUCUCUUGAGAGCGGCGGACGGGUGAGUAAUGCCUAGGAAUCUGCCUGGUAGUGGGGGAUAACGUUCGGAAACGGACGCUAAUACCGCAUACGUCCUACGGGAGAAAGCAGGGGACCUUCGGGCCUUGCGCUAUCAGAUGAGCCUAGGUCGGAUUAGCUAGUUGGUGAGGUAAUGGCUCACCAAGGCGACGAUCCGUAACUGGUCUGAGAGGAUGAUCAGUCACACUGGAACUGAGACACGGUCCAGACUCCUACGGGAGGCAGCAGUGGGGAAUAUUGGACAAUGGGCGAAAGCCUGAUCCAGCCAUGCCGCGUGUGUGAAGAAGGUCUUCGGAUUGUAAAGCACUUUAAGUUGGGAGGAAGGGCAGUUACCUAAUACGUAAUUGUUUUGACGUUACCGACAGAAUAAGCACCGACAA